Molecule: ribosomal RNA, 484 nt
Filed under: uncultured bacterium
Lineage: Bacteria
Description: partial 16S ribosomal RNA
Rfam family: Bacterial small subunit ribosomal RNA
Source: RNAcentral
GACGAACGCUGGCGGCGCGCCUAACACAUGCAAGUCGAACGGAGUCAGUUUGAGUUUACUUAGACUGACUUAGUGGCGGACGGGUGAGUAACACGUGAGCAACCUGCCUUUCAGAGGGGGAUAACAGUUGGAAACGACUGCUAAUACCGCAUGAUGUUAUUGAGGGACAUCCUUUGAUAACCAAAGGAGAAAUCCACUGAAAGAUGGGCUCGCGGCCGAUUAGCUAGAUGGCGGGGUAAAGGCCCACCAUGGCGACGAUCGGUAGCCGGACUGAGAGGUUGAACGGCCACAUUGGGACUGAGACACGGCCCAGACUCCUACGGGAGGCAGCAGUGGGGGAUAUUGCACAAUGGGCGAAAGCCUGAUGCAGCGACGCCGCGUGAGGGAAGACGGUCUUCGGAUUGUAAACCUCUGUCUUAGGGGAAGAAAAUGACGGUACCCUAGGAGGAAGCUCCGGCUAACUACGUGCCAGCAGCCGCCGUAA